UUAUUUUUUAAAGUAACAUUGUGGUUUUUUCUGGUAACAGAAGGGUUUUCCAUACAAAUUUGACCUGUCCCAAGUAGCACUUCGUUACAGAAAAUAUAAAAUAACUACAAUUUCCAAUAUACCAACCCACAUCAAUUAAAAUAUUAAUAUAAACAGAAUAUUGCGAAUAUUUCUAAAAGUACAUUUUCAACCCGAUCAGUGCUAAGAUUUAUUUUAUAAAAAAUAUUUUAACUUUGUCCCACGUAGUGUUUGGAAUCGUGUGCACUACUAUGUUACUAAAUAAAUCAUUACUCAAAAUAGAGGUGGCGCUGUUUUCGACUUUCUAUUAGCUUGAGCGAGGUUUCUGCAGCCAUUGUGGUCGUUCGUUAGGUCUGGGGGUGGGGUACAUUGAAUCUCAGUCGACCGCGUGGCGCUGAACGUGCCGCGUGUUUUUAUUCCGCAUCAACAUUGUUACCUACCUAUUAAAGUUAUUCUGCCGUUAUUAACGCCCUUAAAAUGCCUCUCACGCCAGCUGAGAAGCAAGCAAGUUAACAGAAACAGAUCGAAGUUAUUUACAGGUUAUAUAAAAUUUAAGUAACAAUUAGAAACAGUUAACAAGAGAUAGGAGACGUAUAAAAAACAAUGCAACAGAGAAAAACGAAAGAAGUCUAAAAAUAAGGACGGCAAUCCAGAAAAUCCAGUAAAUGCUAUUAAAAAUGGCCAUGAAAAAGUUAAGAAUCUGAAGGAAAAGUAUGCUAUUGAUAAAAUAUUCGACAAGAAGGCCGUUAAAAUGUCUAGGCAGGAAAUACAAAUUAUACAAGAGUGUCUUGCUGUGGAUCAAAGUUUCAUAUGAAAAAAAUCAGCCCACAUGUAAGAAAAAUGUUUUUAGAACCAAAAUCAAUCUUUUCGAACGUGACGACAUAUCAAAAGUAUGCAAUUUAUUCACUUAUAGUACAAAAAGAACAACUAAGUUACUGUGUUACAACUCUGUUACUUUCGUGUCCCGAAGAUUAAAGAACUUAGUUACGAAAUUUAGGAAAAGCUAUUCAAUAUAAUACUGCUAAAUUACAAUAGGUUAAUUUGUCAGUUAAUGAAGCGGUUAUAUGUUGUAAUUAGCUGUUAAUUUACAGAUAUUUCAUGGAGUAGUGUAGAAUUUAAGGUUUGUUAUUAUUCAUAAAGUAACAGAGUUGACUAAAAUUGUAAAUAAAUUACUGUUAAACUUAAAAAAAGCUUGUGCUUCUAAUGGUGAUUAUAAGAUAUAAGACUGUAAUUAAUAUAAAAGCCAAAAUAUGUGCGACUGGCUUAUUUAAUUUAAUGAUAAAAGGUAAAGUGUAAUAAUAA
Molecule: long non-coding RNA, 1320 nt
Organism: Colias croceus (clouded yellow)
Lineage: Eukaryota; Metazoa; Arthropoda; Insecta; Lepidoptera; Pieridae
Exons: 2
Source: RefSeq, a predicted model, not a curated record